This 492-nucleotide ribosomal RNA is filed under the name uncultured bacterium. Its description in RNAcentral is "partial 16S ribosomal RNA". It matches the Rfam family "Bacterial small subunit ribosomal RNA", at positions 29 to 507 of the family's 1533-position model. The record is from RNAcentral.
AGUGAACGCUGGCGGUAGGCCUAACACAUGCAAGUCGAACGGCGGCACAGUAAGAGCUUGCUCUUACGGGUGGCGAGUGGCGGACGGGUGAGGAAUACAUCGGAAUCUACUUUUUCGUGGGGGAUAACGUAGGGAAACUUACGCUAAUACCGCAUACGACCUACGGGUGAAAGCAGGGGAUCUUCGGACCCUGCGCGAUUGAAUGAGCCGAUGUCGGAUUAGCUAGUUGGCGGGGUAAAGGCCCACCAAGGCGACGAUCCGUAGCUGGUCUGAGAGGAUGAUCAGCCACACUGGAACUGAGACACGGUCCAGACUCCUACGGGAGGCAGCAGUGGGGAAUAUUGGACAAUGGGCGCAAGCCUGAUCCAGCCAUACCGCGUGGGUGAAGAAGGCCUUCGGGUUGUAAAGCCCUUUUGUUGGGAAAGAAAAGCAGCAGGUUAAUACCCCGCUGUUCUGACGGUACCCAAAGAAUAAGCACCGGCUAACUUCGUG